UGAAUGAGUGUGACCUCGAAGAGUACUGU
Molecule: non-coding RNA, 29 nt
Filed under: Mus musculus (house mouse)
Lineage: Eukaryota; Metazoa; Chordata; Mammalia; Rodentia; Muridae
Source: RNAcentral